RNAcentral lists this unclassified non-coding RNA (397 nucleotides) under uncultured fungus. Its description in RNAcentral is "sequence contains ITS1". The record is from RNAcentral. Lineage: Eukaryota; Fungi.
UUAACUUAUAAUAUUACUCAGACAACACAAAAUCAAGAGUUUAGAGUCCUCUGGCAAGCACUGACCAGCCAAAGCCGGUGGUCAAAAGACAGGCCUGCCAAAGCAACAAAGGUAAUGUAAACAAAGGGUGGGAGAUCUACCCCAAAGGGCAAUUUCUCUGUAAUGAUCCUUCCGCAGGUUCACCUACGGAACACAUGGUCUACAACCUUUCAGAGGUAGGCCGGUCAUAUCUGAAUCCAAGAUGGGUAUUGACCUUCUUAGACCACCUUCGUUUGAUCUGUGGACUGCUAUAAUAUGCAGCUGCAUGUUACCCUGAUGGUAUCCAAGCACAGUGAAGAUGUUGCCUAUGUUUAGACUUGUAUCCAAGGCUUCUGCAGGUGUUGUUCCUCUAGAGAAA